Molecule: ribosomal RNA, 382 nt
Filed under: uncultured eukaryote
Lineage: Eukaryota
Description: partial 18S ribosomal RNA
Rfam family: Eukaryotic small subunit ribosomal RNA
Source: RNAcentral
UGUAAGCGUAUACCAAAGUUGUUGCAGUUAAAACGCUCGUAGUCGGAAUUUGGCAGUUCCGGAUGUGUGCACGUCGUGUGCGCACUUCGCGGGGAUUGCUUUUGUGGUCUUGCAUAGGAUGAGGCACUUUUAUUAGUGAACGUCCUCACGCAACCACUUUUUACUGUGAGAAAAUCAGAGUGCUCAAAGCAGGCAUUUGCCGUGAAUGUAUUAGCAUGGAAUAAUAGAAUAGGACUUGGUUCUAUUUUGUUGGUUUGUUGGGACUGAGUAAUGAUUAAGAGGGACAGUUGGGGGCAUUUGUAUUUCGGUGUUAGAGGUGAAAUUCUUAGAUUACCGAAAGACAAACUGCUGCGAAAGCGUCUGCCAAGGAUGUUUUCAUUGA